Molecule: ribosomal RNA, 460 nt
Filed under: uncultured bacterium
Lineage: Bacteria
Description: partial 16S ribosomal RNA
Rfam family: Bacterial small subunit ribosomal RNA
Source: RNAcentral
CCUACGGGAGGCAGCAGUGAGGAAUAUUGGUCAAUGGGCUUACGCCUGAACCAGCCAAGUCGCGUGAGGGAAGACUGCCCUAUGGGUUGUAAACCUCUUUUGUCAGGGAGCAAUUGGCGCUACGUGUAGCGUGAUCGAGAGUACCUGAAGAAAAAGCAUGGGCUAACUCCGUGCCAGCAGCCGCGGUAAUACGGAGGAUGCGAGCUUUAUCCGGAUUGUUUGGGUUUAAGGGGUGCUUAGGCGGCAUGCCAAGUCGGGGGUAAAAUCGCGGGGCUCAACCUCGCUCCGCCGUUGAAACUGGCGUUCUUGAGUUGGCGAGAAGUAUGCGGAAUGCGUGGUGUAGCGGUGAAAUGCUUAGAUAUCACGCAGAACUCCGAUUGCGAAGGCAGCAUACCGGCGCACAACUGACGCUGAAGCACGAAAGCGUGGGUAUCGAACAGGAUUAGAUACCCGGGUAGUC